Molecule: small nucleolar RNA, 82 nt
Filed under: Oryza meridionalis
Lineage: Eukaryota; Viridiplantae; Streptophyta; Magnoliopsida; Poales; Poaceae
Description: small nucleolar RNA snoR114
Rfam family: small nucleolar RNA snoR114
Source: Rfam by way of RNAcentral
GAGUGAUGAGGAAAUGCUCCUGUGACAACUGGGUUCGUCACAUUCAUCUGAUCUCAGAUGUUUUACGAGCUAGUCUGAACUC